Cyprinus carpio (common carp) is the source of this 1968-nucleotide long non-coding RNA. RefSeq lists it as uncharacterized. NCBI's taxonomy places the organism in Eukaryota, Metazoa, Chordata, Actinopteri, Cypriniformes, Cyprinidae. The record is from RefSeq and is a predicted model, not a curated record. The transcript has 5 exons.
GAACAUGUUGGCUUGUUGCUUAUAUUUGGAAAGACACUCGUGUAACAGUUUUGAACCUCAUGUAUUUGAAUACUAAAGUUUUUAGUUUAGUUCUCUAGGUAAGCUGGACAACAUGGAGCUGGAUGUGCUGUUUUCUCCCUUAAGGACUGAUGUUUACUUGUUGGCUUUGCUGUCCACGUUGAUGCAGCUCAUGUCCAAUAAUUCUAAGGCCUUCUAACCUUGUUUGACUAUAAAUGUUAAAUUUUUUUUUUUUUUUUUUUUUUUUUUUUUUUUUUUUUUAAAUAUAAAUUGUUUCAGGCAGGUACAGACGAGGCCAUAGAUGUUCUCCAGGAGCUGCCCAGAUGAAGAGUUGCUUUUUGAACUGAAGACUAACCUGUGUCCCUUACAAUAUUUACGAAGUCAUGCAUAUUGUAUUAUGUAUCACCGUUUCCUUUAUUGUAAAACUCAGCCCAGCUGUACUUGAUUGAACAAAGUUCCAUUCAUGCCUUGGAUUAUUCCUGAUGUAGGCAAUCGUGUAGAUCCCCCUCCUAUUGACAGCUAUCUGGCAAUUCCAGAGUCCUAAUGCUGGUGUUAUUCCAGAUGUUGCCCCGCUAUACAUGUCUUGAGUUUGACUGACCAGGACUUGACCAGAGGACUCAAAGAGCAGGUUUUGCUACUUGUAAGCUGGGCAGCUUCUUGGAGUUGGAUGUGCUGCUGUCCUGUAGCUUGAUAGCAGCUCACUUUUGAUGCAUUUCCCCCCCCCCUCCCCGAUAGUCCUUGUUAUGGACAACUUCAGCACUCAUCUAGACGUGUUCCCCAACAGUCUCUGAGUAACCAAUUUUACCUCUAUUACUUGAAGCCUGUUGAACAAUAUCAGAAGCAUCUUUUAUGGUCCAGUGGACUCUUAAUCCAAGAAUUCCUUGGGGGCACAAUUAUCCACAAGAACAAUGUCUUCAGGUACUAAAUUUAACUUCCGAUUUCUGCCACUUUUGCCAUUCUUUCAGUAGCUGGAUGCAUUUCUUAGUCCAUGUAGACCAGGAGAGAUUGGUCAUGUUGAAUUUGCUUCCAUCUUCUACUUUAAUAACAGUCCUCUUUCUGAAAAACUCCUGGUGGCAUGAUUUCAUCAGCAGAGGGUUUGUAAUCAGAGGCUCAAAGUCAUGGUUUAGCAAUUGGUGGUAGUUUAAUGACUUCAUCACAAUUGUGUGAAGUGUUUAAUCAUCUAAUACCUGUUAAUUCAACACCUAAUUGAGAACUUUCUAAACUGCAUUUGUCCUUCCCAUGUUCCACGUUGAGAUGCUGGAGUAUUUCAAAAUCCACUUUGUCCAAAAUCCAGUUUACAAUUUCUCUCUUCAAACGGUGUACAAAGAAUCUCCAUCUUUCUGCCUCUAAAGUUAAAAAAAAGCGCAAGAUAAAGGUAUGUUAAAAAUUAAUGUAAACUAAAGGCUAUUUUGUGAGGCAACAAUGUAGCCUAGGUAACAUGUUUUAUUGAAAAAUCCAUAACCUUCACAUCUUAAUGUUGUGGUGCAAAUUUCUGUAAUACAAAUAAGCUUCUCUACCAUAAACUUGGCACUAAUGACUUGUAUACAUCAGCUUUAUAGUCUUUGCUAUUAUGUUCCAAUAUCACGUUGCCUGAAUUAGCUAUAGAUUAAGAGUUGUUUUGUGUACAGAUGGGUAGCUGCGGUUUAAUUUUGUUAACGUAACCUUCUGUUCCAAAAACUACUCAUUAAAAUUCACUAAGAGCACUGAAAUAUUUUGGAUGUGGAGCACAGCUACUGCCACCAGCCCAAGUGCCAGUGCUACAGUUGCUGAUACAGCAGGUAAGUUUAACAAUUCCAGAUUCACUUAUAAGGAUAAUCUAUGCCUUUUGUGAGAGCUUUGGUUUUUUUGAAAUUAUGAAGUGUCGUCUGCCGCUGAUCUGAAGAAUCACACUCAGUCUUGGGGUUUUGUUACUAGAAGAUAGACUUUAUUUCAAAUUUUAUCAAUAUCAGG